UGGGGAAUAUUGCACAAUGGGCGCAAGCCUGAUGCAGCCAUGCCGCGUGUGUGAAGAAGGCCUUCGGGUUGUAAAGCACUUUCAGCGAGGAGGAAGGGUGGUGUGUUAAUAGCACAUUGCAUUGACGUUACUCGCAGAAGAAGCACCGGCUAACUCCGUGCCAGCAGCCGCGGCAAUACGGAGGGUGCAAGCGUUAAUCGGAAUUACUGGGCGUAAAGCGCACGCAGGCGGUUUGUUAAGUCAGAUGUGAAAUCCCCGCGCUUAACGUGGGAACGGCAUUUGAAACUGGCAAGCUAGAGUCGUGUAGAGGGGGGUAGAAUUCCAGGUGUAGCGGUGAAAUGCGUAGAGAUCUGGAGGAAUACCGGUGGCGAAGGCGGCCCCCUGGACAAAGACUGACGCUCAGGUGCGAAAGCGUGGGGAGCAAACA
This 427-nucleotide ribosomal RNA is filed under the name uncultured bacterium. RNAcentral's name for it is "partial 16S ribosomal RNA". It matches the Rfam family "Bacterial small subunit ribosomal RNA", at positions 355 to 774 of the family's 1533-position model. The record is from RNAcentral.